GGUUAAGCGACUAAGCGUACACGGUGGAUGCCCUGGCAGUCAGAGGCGAUGAAGGACGUGCUAAUCUGCGAAAAGCGUCGGUAAGGUGAUAUGAACCGUUACAGCCGGCGAUGUCCGAAUGGGGAAACCCAGUGUGAUUCGUCACACUAUCGUUAACUGAAUACAUAGGUUAACGAGGCGAACCGGGGGAACUGAAACAUCUAAGUACCCCGAGGAAAAGA
RNAcentral lists this ribosomal RNA (221 nucleotides) under Klebsiella aerogenes. RNAcentral describes it as "partial 23S ribosomal RNA". It matches the Rfam family "Bacterial large subunit ribosomal RNA", at positions 1 to 222 of the family's 2925-position model. RNAcentral also lists the same sequence under 5 other names. The record is from RNAcentral. Lineage: Bacteria; Pseudomonadati; Pseudomonadota; Gammaproteobacteria; Enterobacterales; Enterobacteriaceae.